RNAcentral lists this ribosomal RNA (447 nucleotides) under uncultured bacterium. RNAcentral's name for it is "partial 16S ribosomal RNA". It matches the Rfam family "Bacterial small subunit ribosomal RNA", at positions 29 to 523 of the family's 1533-position model. The record is from RNAcentral.
AGCGAACGCUGGCGGCAGGCUUAACACAUGCAAGUCGAGCGCCCCGCAAGGGGAGCGGCAGACGGGUGAGUAACACGUGGGAACGUACCUUUUGGUUCGGGACAACCCAGGGAAACUUGGGCUAAUACCGGAUAAGCCCUUACGGGGAAAGAUUUAUCGCCAAAAGAUCGGCCCGCGUCUGAUUAGCUAGUUGGUGGGGUAAUGGCCCACCAAGGCUACGAUCAGUAGCUGGUCUGAGAGGAUGAUCAGCCACAUUGGGACUGAGACACGGCCCAAACUCCUACGGGAGGCAGCAGUGGGGAAUAUUGGACAAUGGGGGAAACCCUGAUCCAGCCAUGCCGCGUGAGUGAUGAAGGCCUUAGGGUUGUAAAGCUCUUUUAGCAGGGAAGAUAAUGACGGUACCUGCAGAAAAAGCCCCGGCUAACUUCGUGCCAGCCGCCGCCGUAA